GGAGGCUUGGCAGAGUGGACGAUUGCGGCGGUCUUGAAAACCGCAGGGCCCGCAAGGGUUCCGGGGGUUCGAAUCCCUCAGCCUCCGCCA
Molecule: transfer RNA, 90 nt
Filed under: Verrucomicrobiota bacterium JB022
Lineage: Bacteria; Pseudomonadati; Verrucomicrobiota
Description: tRNA-Ser
Rfam family: tRNA
About the family: Transfer RNA (tRNA) molecules are approximately 80 nucleotides in length. Their secondary structure includes four short double-helical elements and three loops (D, anti-codon, and T loops).
Source: RNAcentral